This 388-nucleotide ribosomal RNA is filed under the name uncultured bacterium. RNAcentral describes it as "bacterial SSU rRNA". It matches the Rfam family "Bacterial small subunit ribosomal RNA", at positions 28 to 417 of the family's 1533-position model. The record is from RNAcentral.
GACGAACGCUGGCGGCGUGCUUAACACAUGCAAGUCGAGCGGUAAGGCCCUUUCGGGGGUACACGAGCGGCGAACGGGUGAGUAACACGUGGGUGACCUGCCCUCAGCUCUGGGAUAAGCCUGGGAAACUGGGUCUAAUACCGGAUAUGACUCCAUGACGCAUGUUGUGGGGUGGAAAGCCUUGUGCGGCUGAGGAUGGGCCCGCGGCCUAUCAGCCUGUUGGUGGGGUGANGGCCUACCAAGGCGACGACGGGUAGCCGGCCUGAGAGGGCGACCGGCCACACUGGGACUGAGACACGGCCCAGACUCCUACGGGAGGCAGCAGUGGGGAAUCUUGCGCAAUGGGCGAAAGCCUGACGCAGCGACGCCGCGUGAGGGAUGACGGCCU